AUGAACGCUGGCGGCGUGCUUAACACCUGCAAGUCGAACGGAAAGGCCAGUGCUUGCACUGGUACUCGAGUGGCGAACGGGUGAGUAACACGUGGGUGAUCUGCCCUGCACUUCGGGAUAAGCCUGGGAAACUGGGUCUAAUACCGGAUAGGACAAUGGUUUGGAUGCCGUUGUGGAAAGUUUUUUCGGUGUGGGAUGAGCUCGCGGCCUAUCAGCUUGUUGGUGGGGUAAUGGCCUACCAAGGCGUCGACGGGUAGCCGGCCUGAGAGGGUGUACGGCCACAUUGGGACUGAGAUACGGCCCAGACUCCUACGGGAGGCAGCAGUGGGGAAUAUUGCACAAUGGGCGCAAGCCUGAUGCAGCGACGCCGCGUGGGGGAUGACGGCCUUCGGGUUGUAAACUCCUUUCGCUAGGGACGAAGCGUAUUUGUGACGGUACCUGGAGAAGAAGCACCGGCUAACUACGUG
Molecule: ribosomal RNA, 467 nt
Filed under: uncultured bacterium
Lineage: Bacteria
Description: partial 16S ribosomal RNA
Rfam family: Bacterial small subunit ribosomal RNA
Source: RNAcentral